Molecule: ribosomal RNA, 253 nt
Filed under: uncultured bacterium
Lineage: Bacteria
Description: partial 16S ribosomal RNA
Rfam family: Bacterial small subunit ribosomal RNA
Source: RNAcentral
UACGGAGGAUGCAAGCGUUAUCCGGAAUUAUUGGGCGUAAAGCGUCCGCAGGUGGCAAUGUAAGUCUGCUGUCAAAGCGUCUGGCUCAACCAGAUAAAGGCAGUGGAAACUACAUAGCUAGAGUAAGGUAGGGGUAGAGGGAAUUCCUGGUGUAGCGGUGAAAUCCGUAGAGAUCAGGAAGAACAUCGGUGGCGAAAGCGCUCUGCUGGACUGCAACUGACACUCAGGGACGAAAGCUAGGGGAGCGAAUGGG